RNAcentral lists this ribosomal RNA (372 nucleotides) under uncultured bacterium. Its description in RNAcentral is "bacterial SSU rRNA". It matches the Rfam family "Bacterial small subunit ribosomal RNA", at positions 362 to 756 of the family's 1533-position model. The record is from RNAcentral.
UCUUGCGCAAUGGGCGAAAGCCUGACGCAGCCAUGCCGCGUGAAUGAUGAAGGUCUUCGGCUUGUAAAGUUCUUUUGCCCGUGACGAUGAUGACGGUAACGGGAGAAUAAGCCCCGGCUAACUUCGUGCCAGCAGCCGCGGUAAUACGAAGGGGGCUAGCGUUGUUCGGAAUUACUGGGCGUAAAGCGCGCGUAGGCGGUUUUGCGAGCCAGAGGUGAAAUGCCUGAGCUUAACUUAGGAAUUGCCUUUGGGACUGUGAGGCUUUGAGGACGAGAGAGGUGAGUGGAAUUCCCAGUGUAGAGGUGAAAUUCGUAGAUAUUGGGAAGAACACCGGGGCGAAGGGGCUCACUACUCCAUCGACGCUUAGCGCGA